GCCGGGCGUGGUGGCGGGUGCCUGUAGUCCCAGCUACUCGGAAGGCUGAGGCAGGAGAAUGGCGUGAACCCGGGAGGCGCAGCUUGCAGUGAGCCCAGAUCGCGCCACUGCACUCCAGCCUGGGCGACAGAGCNNNNNNNNNNGCUCUGUCGCCCAGGCUGGAGUGCAGUGGCGCGAUCUGGGCUCACUGCAAGCUGCGCCUCCCGGGUUCACGCCAUUCUCCUGCCUCAG
This 231-nucleotide signal recognition particle RNA is filed under the name Chlorocebus sabaeus (green monkey). Its description in RNAcentral is "Metazoan signal recognition particle RNA". It matches the Rfam family "Metazoan signal recognition particle RNA". Rfam says of the family: The signal recognition particle (SRP) is a universally conserved ribonucleoprotein. It is involved in the co-translational targeting of proteins to membranes. The eukaryotic SRP consists of a 300-nucleotide 7S RNA and six proteins: SRPs 72, 68, 54, 19, 14, and 9. Lineage: Eukaryota; Metazoa; Chordata; Mammalia; Primates; Cercopithecidae. The record is from Rfam by way of RNAcentral.